Molecule: ribosomal RNA, 548 nt
Filed under: Eurygmus helocharoides
Lineage: Eukaryota; Metazoa; Arthropoda; Insecta; Coleoptera; Hydrophilidae
Description: partial large subunit ribosomal RNA
Rfam family: Bacterial large subunit ribosomal RNA
Source: RNAcentral
AACAUGGCCUUUUGAAUUAUAAUUUAAGGUUUGACCUGCCCAAUGAAUAUUUAAUGGCUGCAGUAUUUUGACUGUACAAAGGUAGCAUAAUCAUUAGUUUUUUAAUUAAAAACUAGUAUGAAUGGUUCAAUGAAAAAAAAUCUGUCUCUAUUUAAAUUAUAAAUAGAAAUUUAUUUUUAAGUUAAAAAGCUUAAAUUAAUUUAAAAGACGAGAAGACCCUAUAGAGUUUUAUAUUAAAUAUAUUAAUAAAUUUUAAGUAUAAAUCGAUUAUUAAUUUAUUUAUUAUUUAGUUGGGGUGACUUUAAAAUUUAAUUAACUUUUUAAUUUUUAUAACAUAAAUUUAUGAUUAAAUGAUCCAUAAAAUAUGAUUAUAAGAUUAAAUUACCUUAGGGAUAACAGCGUAAUUUUUUUGGAGAGUUCUUAUCGAUAAAAAAGGUUGCGACCUCGAUGUUGGAUUAAAAUUUACUAUUGGCGUAGUAGUUGAUAAGUUAGGUCUGUUCGACCUUUAAAAUUUUACAUGAUCUGAGUUUAAACCGGUGUGAGCCAGG